Molecule: long non-coding RNA, 2271 nt
Filed under: Limulus polyphemus (Atlantic horseshoe crab)
Lineage: Eukaryota; Metazoa; Arthropoda; Merostomata; Xiphosura; Limulidae
Description: uncharacterized LOC111085883, transcript variant X1
Source: RNAcentral
UAUAAAAAUAUUUUCAGUAUGUUAUUUAGACAUGUAAGAACAAGAAAAGGAUAUAAAUUAUUCACUUAAGGUUAAGUUAAAAACUUUUACUAAUUUUAACAUUUCAAAUUUGGAUAUAUGAAAAGAAUAGGUAAGAAUCUACUGUAAGUGAUCCUUACAAAGAUUGAGGAAACUAAGCAGGUUAUUACUAUUAUUUUCUUUUAUAAAAAUCAUCAGUACAACUUUUGUUGUGUGUAUAAUUACAGAAUAUCAGGAACUUUGUAAAACUUGUAUUUUCUCAGUUAAAAUCAAAACUUACUAACACAAAGUGUUUUGAUCCUGAUAAUAAUCGUAUCAGUAUUAAAGAUUUCAUAAUGAUUUAAGUUGAGAUAAACCUUUAAUGAAGGAGUAGAAAACCCACUAAUUCAUUUCUGACUUUUGAAGUACCCCUUUCAUAAAUAUAAUGCACUAUAUGCAGUUUUUCAGAGUCACUAAAGAUAUCAUGCUAAGAAGUAUAACAGGUCAACUCAUCAAACACUAUUUUCAAACAGUUGUCAUGCUUAGUAACCUACUUUAUUAAUUAGUUAAUUGCUAAUUACUAACUAGCUUUUAUCACAUGUUUCUGCUGCUCAUCUGUUGCCAUCUUCAAGAAAGUCCUAAGAAUAACUGGUGGUGGUGGCCACAAUUUGAACCUAGUUCUUUUUGAUAGAAAGGCUUGUGUGCUAUCCACUAUUCUCGGGUGGGCCACGAGCUUACCAAGGAGAGACCCACAUUAAAACCACAUGGUGGAGAUGUGGCAGAACUCUUUCCCCAGUGUAUGAGGGAGUACCUGAGGAAGGGCUGGGUCAUGCCCUGGAGCAUUCCAGACAAGUCACUGUAUAGGAUAAGCAGAUUUGGAGUGAGAUAGUGCUAUGUUUGAUGCAUGAUCCUGAGCUUGUGUUAAUAAAGUGGUCAGUGAUGAGGGGCAGCUGCAAUGGUCAGCCAAGACAUUAACAUUCUGGUCACUUGGUUAAGAUAAUAAGCCAUCUUAGACGUCGUCACUUGGUCAAGAAACCAAUAACUGAAGAAAUGUUGCUGCCUUUACUCUGGAUUAUCGAGUGGUAGUCCAAAAAAACUGUGGACAAAUUUUAAAUUGUCCGCUAGAUCAAAACAGCUAAGAUGGUCAUGUAUUUGAAAGAACAUUGCAUUCCUUGCUUUCUGAGCUACAAUUACCACAGAUAGGUCAGUUUUUUUUUACAAAAUGACAGUCUUAUGUUCCCUUAUAUUGAGUAGUAGCUGUUCUACUGAACUGGCUGUGUGGUUCUCAAGAAAAUUGUCACAUGUGCACUUAAUUGUGCAUGAAUCCUCCAUGUGCAGUGAGAGAGUUGACUUGGGUGACUUAUUUCCCUGAGGUUACAUAUAUUUACUUUUUUAUAUUGACUUGUGUAAGGUGAUGAAGCAUACCAAUGGUUUGGAGUUGGUGGCCAUUUUGGACAGUGAAGACACAUCCAUUGUGGAACAACUGUAUUUAACUCAAGUUGGUUAAAGUAAGCACUGAUAUACAAGGUAGCAAAAGAACUAAUAUUAAUUCUGAUGAAAAGCAUUUGAAUGAAUAGUAUAGUUCAACUAAAUUCUAUCAGUAGUUAUUUUGUGAGGCCUGCAGAGUACAAUAAGUUUUUAUCAUUUGCAGGGGGCAGCACAUUACUAAACUGUAAAUAUCGAUUUAUUUAUAAAAGUAGCCCAAAUUAGCUACUGAGGUAAUGGUGCACAAGCUCUAGACAGUAUAUCAAAAGCUACUACUUAGUGGUAAAAGAAAAUGGGUUUGAUCUUUCAUGGUCUAAUUUCUAGCUGAUUCAGUUGCCCCCUUGAAUGGCUGCCAAAUGUAUGUUGGCAAGCCCCAACUGACUACAUGGAGGGAAGUCUGCAAACUGAAAAAUACCAAGAAGAUACAGGUUUGAAUCCUGCCCACAACCACCAGAGAAACAGUCAUUCUUAGAACUUCUCUGAAGAUGGCAGCCAAAAUGCAAGAUAAACACUAGUUACAAAGUGUACUCUAUGGACCUGUUGAAUUUAAUUCUGUAAACUACAGGCACACACCUCAAGUGUGACUUCCCAAUUGAACAAUGAACAAAGAUAGUGGAAUUCUAUAUCACCACAAAAUCCUACAAAAAACAACAAAAUAAUCACUACUGUUGUCACUGCAAUGUUCAAAUUCGACUUCUUUCUAUGGGGUUACUUGCCUGAGAAGACAAGGACGUCACAUCGACACAUCUUGCAUACCAAUAAUAAGGACAAUUAGAAAAACAUUUUCAA